GGAAUAUUGGUCAAUGGGCGCAAGCCUGAACCAGCCAUGCCGCGUGCAGGAAGAAUGCCCUAUGGGUUGUAAACUGCUUUUAUUUAGGAAUAAACUCUUGUACGUGUACAAGCCUGAAGGUACUAAAUGAAUAAGCACCGGCUAACUCCGUGCCAGCAGCCGCGGUAAUACGGAGGGUGCAAGCGUUAUCCGGAAUCAUUGGGUUUAAAGGGUCCGCAGGCGGAUUUAUAAGUCAGUGGUGAAAUCCUAUCGCUUAACGAUAGAACUGCCAUUGAUACUGUAGGUCUUGAAUUCGGUCGAAGUGGGCGGAAUGUGUAGUGUAGCGGUGAAAUGCAUAGAUAUUACACAGAACACCGAUAGCGAAGGCAGCUCACUAGGCCUGGAUUGACGCUCAGGGACGAAAGCGUGGGGAUCAAACAGGAUUAGAUACCCUGGUAGUCCACGCUGUAAACGAUGAUUACUCGUUUUCGGCGAUACACAGUCGGAGACUAAGCGAAAGUGAUAAGUAAUCCACCUGGGGAGUACGAUCGCAAGGUUGAAACUCAAAUGAANNNACGG
Molecule: ribosomal RNA, 558 nt
Filed under: uncultured bacterium
Lineage: Bacteria
Description: bacterial SSU rRNA
Rfam family: Bacterial small subunit ribosomal RNA
Source: RNAcentral